UACGGAGGGUGCAAGCGUUAAUCGGAAUUACUGGGCGUAAAGCGUGCGCAGGCGGUUUGAUAAGCCAGAUGUGAAAUCCCCGAGCUCAACCUGGGAACUGCGUUUGGAACUGGCAGACUAGAGUGCGGCAGAGGGGGGUGGAAUUCCGCGUGUAGCGGUGAAAUGCGUAGAGAUGCGGAGGAACACCGAUGGCGAAGGCAGCCCCCUGGGCUGAGACUGACGCUCAGGUACGAAAGCGUGGGGAGCAAACAGG
Molecule: ribosomal RNA, 253 nt
Filed under: uncultured bacterium
Lineage: Bacteria
Description: partial 16S ribosomal RNA
Rfam family: Bacterial small subunit ribosomal RNA
Source: RNAcentral